UGGGGAAUAUUGGACAAUGGGCGAAAGCCUGAUCCAGCAAUGCCGCGUGAGUGAUGAAGGCCUUAGGGUUGUAAAGCUCUUUUACCCGGGAUGAUAAUGACAGUACCGGGAGAAUAAGCUCCGGCUAACUUCGUGCCAGCAGCCGCGGUAAUACGAGGGGAGCUAGCGUUGUUCGGAAUUACUGGGCGUAAAGCGCGCGUAGGCGGUUUUUUAAGUCAGAGGUGAAAGCCCGGGGGCUCAACCCCGGAAUAGCCUUUGAAACUGGAAAACUAGAAUCUUGGAGAGGUCAGUGGAAUUCCGAGUGUAGAGGUGAAAUUCGUAGAUAUUCGGAAGAACACCAGUGGCGAAGGCGACUGACUGGACAAGUAUUGACGCUGAGGUGCGAAAGCGUGGGGAAGCAAACAGGAUUAGAUACCCUGGUAGUCCACGCCGUAAACGAUGAUAACUAGCUGUCCGGGCUCAUAGAGCUUGGGUGGCGCAGCUAACGCAUUAAGUUAUCCGCCUGGGGAGUACGGUCGCAAGAUUAAAACUCAAAUGAAUUGACGGGGUCAUAGCUGUUUCCU
Molecule: ribosomal RNA, 563 nt
Filed under: uncultured bacterium
Lineage: Bacteria
Description: partial 16S ribosomal RNA
Rfam family: Bacterial small subunit ribosomal RNA
Source: RNAcentral